Long non-coding RNA from Rhagoletis pomonella (apple maggot), 1173 nucleotides. RefSeq lists it as uncharacterized. The transcript has 4 exons. The record is from RefSeq and is a predicted model, not a curated record. NCBI's taxonomy places the organism in Eukaryota, Metazoa, Arthropoda, Insecta, Diptera, Tephritidae.
UGUUCAUAAGAGAAAAAUUUCAUAUUAACAUUGAAAAUGAUCAAAACAAUAGGUUUCACGUCAAAUUGAUAUGAAAACUGUUAAAUCAACAUUGGCAGUUAUUAAAUUGUCAUAUCAAUUUCACAUGUUAAUGAGAGAAAAAUGUCAUAUUAACAUUGAAAAUGGUCAAAACAAUAGGUUUCACGUCAAAUUGAUAUGAAAACUGUUAAAUCCACAUUUUUAUAUUAUUCUCAUAUUAAAAUGACAACAGCAGUUGACACUCAUGUUCGCGCAUGCAAAGAAUAAAAAACGCUAGAUCUAUUGAAAAUCGCAUUGAAAUUGUUUUAUAGUCUUUUUAAAGUGCAAACUGUGAGAAUAUUUAAUAAAAAACAACUCAGAAAGUUAAUAGAGAUUGUGAAAAUGAGUGAUAAUUCUUUAUUAUUUGGCGAAAAUGUUUCGCUGACUAUGAAUGACGCAGGGCAGCAUAUCGUUCUGGAAGCAACGCCUAUAGAAAUUGGUGGAAAUGGAGAAAUCAUAACGCAAUCUGCUCAGUAUGAAAUAUUAAGUGGAAAUUUAGAACAGAUUGUCCAAACUCAAUCAGGAGGAGAUCAGCGAUUAAAAGACUUAUUAAAAUAGAUGAAUAUAGAAGCCGCUUACGACAAGUUUUAUGCUUCUGGAAUCACAUUUGACCGGCUGAAGUACAUAAACUGUGACGACUUGGCGUUGGUAUUUCCAGGGAACGAAAAUAUCGGUUAUCGAGCAGAACUAAGGGAAAAAAUAAGGCUUUGGAAGCACAAUAACUUUCCAGAAUAAUCUGUUUCGAAUCUAAGUAUGAACUCAAAUAUCAAAAAUUGGAUUGAAAAUCAACCUCUUGACUCGCCAGCUACCAAUUCCACUUCGUCUGAAGUCACGGUAACGAUUGUUUUUAAGCGGUGCUUUUUUUCUAAAUUUAAUUUUAUUGUAGAGUGUAAUUGACAUGGUGAAAAACUCGAAAAGUGGCCAAUCUCUAUUAAGCUUAUAUCAAACGAAGCAAAAGUUAGAUGCAGGUGAUAGAAAAAUAUUGCUUAACAUUAUUGUGGAAAAUGAUGACGUUUGUACAUUUCCUUCCUCUAAUCAUAGGAGAUCGCAUUCCAGACAACGACGAAUGUUGGUUAUUUUUUUUAACGCUCCUCAAAAUUAUUGACAUGAUUAAUA